RNAcentral lists this small RNA (39 nucleotides) under Arabidopsis thaliana (thale cress). RNAcentral describes it as "ATSL073820". Lineage: Eukaryota; Viridiplantae; Streptophyta; Magnoliopsida; Brassicales; Brassicaceae. The record is from RNAcentral.
AGAAGAGAAGAAGAAGAAGAAGUCGGUGGGUGAAUUAGU